RNAcentral lists this long non-coding RNA (5892 nucleotides) under Ananas comosus (pineapple). Its description in RNAcentral is "long non-coding RNA (ACOM_LNC010176)". Lineage: Eukaryota; Viridiplantae; Streptophyta; Magnoliopsida; Poales; Bromeliaceae. The record is from RNAcentral.
CGCAGGCGGUCUCGAGGGAUAGUUCAGUGAGACUUUUCCCUAUGAGACUUACACGUGAGAUGUUGUAGUGAACCCCGAGUUCACAAGAGAUUUGGUUACCUAUUGAGUCAUACUCAUUAUUGUUGUUCAUGAUAGUUGCUUACAUAGCCUUUAUUAUUGUUCAUGAUAGCUAGUUUACAUAGCUUAUUGUUGUUCAUAGUAGCUUACUUGCUCAGAUUUACUUAUUGUUCAUGCAUGCAUGUUAUCGGAUUGAGGCAUAGCUAGACGUACCUACUCUACUUACCUGCUUUCGUUCCCGCAUAGCUUUAUAUAUAUUGUAUAUAUAUCUCUCUAUGCCUACUUAGACCUAGUGGGUAGAUCGGUGGAGUCGGCGGCCGAACCCACUGGGAACUAAGGAAGUUAGUUCUCACACCCCACAUUACAGGUACUAGGUCGAGUGUCCCGACCGAGCGGGAGGAUCGCGGCAAGGGCAUAGCGCCCUAGCGGUAUCAGUUGAUAGUUUUACCUUUCCUACUUGCAUUAGCUCUAUACCCUGUACUUUUGUUUAUAUCUUGAGAGUAGAUCUUGUAUAGGGUGAGGUUUGAGAGCAUAUGAUGUAUUUAUAUUUUGGAGAAAAAGAAUGCAAGUUGUAUCGAUGCUUAAAGUUUAAUGAAAUUGAAAGAGCUUAAACAAUUUCAAGUUUUAUGGUUUAAAUAGUUAAGUUCUCUCUUUUGUAUACUUGUAUGGUAUUCACUUGUAUCGCUUGCUCUUUGGUUGUUUAGCACUGUUUGUGCUUCUUCGUUGUUGUUGUAUAGAUCGUGUAUGAUUACAAGUGAUUCCUGGGUACUUGUGUACAUGAUCUCGUUGUUGAGCCUAGGGCGGACAAGGGAGGCUCUGUCUGUUCGGCCUCACGCCCGCCGCGCCCGAACCGCGCCAAAUUGGUAGCGGUCUCGGGGCGGGGCGUGACAGUUGUGGUAUCAGAGCAAUUUAAGAGCAAGCAAAAGAGAGAGUCUAGGAUGACUUAGGAGACUCUAGGAUGGUGAGCCUUAAGGUUAUAGGUGCGUGAGUGCGACGUGAACCUGCGACGCGGUGGAAGCUAAUUGAUUGGGUUUGGAGUUGCUGUUGAGACUCUAGUUAUGGCUAGAGAUGAUCCAAGUGGUAUUAGUUUUUGGCUUAAGGUGAUUGUGUUGGCGGCCGACAACACGAUGCCGAAGGUCGAGAACUAAGACACUUGCAAGCUACCGCCUGAUUGAUGUUAUUUAAUCGCUUAUGUUUCGCAAUUUCGAUGACGUGUUGGGUUAAGUAAUUAACCGGUUGUUUGCGUUUCAGGAGCUAAUGGCGCCAAAGAGACGCUAUGUGCGUAGGACCGCUUCGGCACCACCUCGAGAGGUGCCCGAGCCAGCCGUGCCUCCAGUGGCGCCAGGGCCAGCUGGGCCUACUGAGGUGCAGGAGUUGAGAGCACAGGUUGCGGCACUCACGGGACGGUUCGAUAGGCUCCAGGAGCUAUUGGAGCAGCAGGCUGCGGCUUCGGCUGCGGCGGCAGGUUUAGGCCGCGGCCCGCCUGCGCCUUCGGUUCGCGCCCCUGAUGCGGUCUCGGGGCGGGGCGUGACACUAAUAUUAUUCCGGUUUUGGUUCUUGUGAAGGUUGAUAUUCCUCCGCACGAUUCGAUUCUCCUACGUCCCGUGUGAGGCCGCUGAAGGAGCGGAGCUGAGCGCGUUCUAUUGCUACUCACGAGCACAUAAUUUCACUGGCCGCCUACUUACGAGAGCGUUGUGGAUCCAGCACAUGAGUCGUGUUUACUGCUAUGGAGUACUCUAUUUGAGAAUCUUCACCUUGGAGAAGGCCAAUGUUAAACUUGGCCGCUGCAUGCUUCGAGAAUCGGGCAGAUCCUUGGUGAAGAAGUCAAGUCAGACCGACUCCCGAGCUUCCCCGAUCGUAUUGGCGAGUCGCAGCUAUUGUUGCUGAGGUACUUCCCCGACACGACAAGAAAUAGGCGGAAGAUUUCCGCAAGCUCAAGCAAGGCAACUGCAACGGUUCGGGAGUACACGGGAUCACCCCAUCCCUGAGACUGCGUCCCGACGUGGCGGUACGACAAGCAGGACCGGGCAAUGUGGUUCGAGGACAUCCGCCCGAGUUUCAAUUGUGCAUCCUCAAGUUCACAACUUUGGCGGAGGCAUUAAUCGCGCAAACGAUGCGUCCGACGCACGGGAAUGCUUGCAGUCUGGAGGACCGCGAGACGCUCGACAAGACAGGCAAUAAGAGGCAAGCGGUGAUGCGGGGACAAGUCUAGCUCCAGGAUCCCCCAAUACCACCUCCAGCCCAAGGUUCUGGUGCACAGCGAUGCUCUGUGGCGAGACACCGCCCGGUGUAGUGGAGAGCGCGAGGAGGCCCCCUUCAAGUGCGGUCAACGCGGCAACGCAUCGCGACUGUCCUCAAGGAGGACUUCGCCCGCUAUUCUUCUGCAUCGCCCCGCAGUCCAGCUCGCUAUGGCUGCCUCCCCUCCACAGCAUCUACUGGCGAGCGGCACGGCGCCACGCCAGCCAGACCGCACGAUUCAGCGCCGAGCGCGAGAAUUUAUCCGCUCCAGACACUUGAGGACCUUCCGCGCCGACGACGCAACGUGUGGGCAGGAUAUAUAUGUUGUAAGUUUCGAGCGAAGGCUUUAUUUGAUAACAGGCGCAUCACAACUCAUUUUUAGUCGAUCAUUCGCGCAAGCACAUGAUAUCGAGUACCAUCUGGGGGAGCAUGUAUGGCUUGUUGAGAGCCCCGGGCGAUCAUUCAUGAUUAGGAAGCGAUGUUUGGCAUGUCCAGUGCAAGUGAAUGACUGGGUUAUGCCGAUCGACCUGUUGGUGCUCAAAAGGUUGAAGGAAUUUGACAUCAUAUUGGGCAUGGAUUGGCUCUCGAAGUACUAUGUGUCGAUCGACUGCCCGACUCGAGUUGUCACAUUUCGGGAGCCGGGUCAAGAAGAGUUCACCUAUCGAGCUUGCAAGAGCUCGUGCUUCGCCGCGACGGUAUCGGCGACUAGAGCAAGGAAGUUGGUGAACAGCGGUUGCACAGCCUAUUUGGCGACCGUUGUGGAGAUGGAUCGAGUGGUUCCGACCCUCGAGGAGUUGGCGGUAGUGCAGGAGUUUCCUGACGUGUUUCCCGCGGAGUUACCGGGUAUGCCGCCGGACCGGAAGAUCGAGUUCAUGAUUGACUUGGUUCCCGGCACAGCACCGAUUUCUAAGGCCCCGUAUCGCAUGGCGCCGGCCGAGCUAAAGGAGUUGAGAGAUCAAUUGCAGGAUCUUCUUGACAAGGAAUUCAUUAGGCCGAGUGUUUCGCCGUGGGGUGCCCCGGUAUUAUUUGUGCGAAAGAAAGAUGGAUCUUUUCGACUCUGCGUGGAUUACCGCGAGUUAAACAAGGUCACGGUGAAGAACAAGUACCCGCUACCCCGUAUCGAUGACUUGUUUGAUCAGUUGCAGGGGUCGCAAGUGUAUUCGAAGAUCGACCUUCAGUCCGGUUAUCACCAGUUAAGGAUCAAGCCGGAAGAUGUUCAGAAGACGGCGUUUCGCACGCGUUAUGGACACUACGAGUUCACGGUGAUGUCGUUUGGGCUUACAAAUGCCCCGGCAGCGUUCAUGAGCUUGAUGAACCGAGUGUUCCAGGAGUGCUUGGACCGAUUUGUCGUGGUCUUCAUAGACGACAUUUUGGUAUAUUCGCGUAGCGACGAGGAGCACGCGGAGCAUUUGCGCACGGUACUUCAAAUCCUUCGGGAGAUGAAGUUGUACGCAAGGCUGAAGAAAUGUGACUUUUGGCUUAGAGAGGUUGCAUUUCUCGGGCAUAUUAUUUCCGAGGGUGGUGUUUCUGUUGACCCGAGGAAGGUUGAGGCUAUUGAGAAUUGGCCGCGCCCGACGAAUGUUGCAGAGGUCCGUAGCUUUGUGGGCCUAGCAGGUUAUUAUCGACGGUUCGUGGAGGGGUUCUCGAGGAUUGUGACUCCACUUACCCGUCUGACGCAAAAAGGCACCAAGUUCGUUUGGGGUGACGAGUGCGACCGGAGUUUUAGAGAGUUGAAGCAAAGGUUAACUUCGACUCCGGUGCUCGCCCUACCGGUGCAGGGACAGGACUAUGUCGUUUACAGUGAUGCUUCCUAUCUGGGCUUGGGGUGUGUGCUGAUGCAGGGCGGGAAGGUGAUUGCUUAUGCAUCCCGUCAGUUGAAGAGCUAUGAAAAGAACUACCCCAUUCACGAUUUAGAGUUGGCGGCGGUGAUCUUUGCUUUGAAGCUUUGGAGGCAUUAUCUAUAUGGUGCUCAUUGCAAGAUCUACACCGACCACAAAAGCUUAAAGUAUUUAUUUACCCAGAAGGAGCUGAAUAUGCGACAGCAGCGGUGGUUGGAGUUGCUCAAAGAUUAUGACGUUGACAUUCUCUACAACCCCGGGAAGGCAAAUGUAGUUGCCGAUGCGCUUAGCCGGAAGUCUGUUGAAAACCUAGCCUUGUGGGUUACUAAACAGACGCCCCUAUGGUUGCAAAUGGGGAGGAUGGAUCUUGAGGUUGUAGCUCCGGAGAUUCCGGCGAUGUUGAUGGCGCUUGUGGUCCAGCCGACCCUAUUGGACAAGAUUAAAAGUCUGCAGCUGGCGGACCCGUUUUCUCCAAAAGGACGCGCAGAACCUAGUUGAUGCGCCGCGGCGAGAUUUUACUAUGGAUUCUGAUGGUGCACUUCGUGUUAAGAACCGGUGUGUGUACCCGAGGACGAGGAGUUUCGCAAGCUUAUACUACAGGAGUCACAUUGGUCUCUUAUACCGAAUCACGCCUGCGCCCGCCACCAAGAUGUUCCACGAGUUGAGAUUGCUCUAUUGGUGGCCGGGACUAAAGGCGGAUAUUGGGCGCUUUGUGGCGAAGUGCUUAGGUAUGUCAACAGGUUAAGCGGAGCGUCGAUUUCCAGGGGGAAGCUUCAGAGUUUACCUAUUCCCGUCUGGAAGUGGGAAGAUGUAUCGAUGGAUUUCGUCGUCGGCUUACCUCGUUCGGCGGGUGGCCACGAUGCGAUUUGCGGUACUUGUGUACAUGAUCUUGUUGUGGAGCCUAGGGCGGACAGGGGGAGACUCUGUCCGUUCGGCCUCACGCCCGCCCGCGCCCGAACGAGCCAAAUUGUAGCGGUCUCGGGGCGGGGCGUGACAGUUGGGUUCACUUCGCGUUUUUGGAAAAGCCUGCAGGAAGCCCUUGGCACACGACUCGAGUUUAGCAUUGCAUUCCAUCUCAGACAGUAUGGGCAGACGAGAGCGGACUAUUCAAACUUGGAGGAUAUGCUGCGAGCAUGUGUUAUUGACUACAAGGGGUGGUGGUGUAAGCACCUACGAUGGCCGAGUUCGCCUACAACAACAGUUAUCACGCGAGUGUGGGAAUGGCACCGGUUCGAGGCUCUAUUAUUGUUCAUGAUAGUUGCUCAUGAUAGUUGCUUACAUAUUGAGUCAUACUCAUUAUUGUUGUUCAUGAUAGUUGCUUACAUAGCCUUUAUUGUUGUUCAUGAUAGCUAGUUUACAUAGCUUACUUGCUCAGCUUUACUUAUUGUUCAUGCAUGCAUGUUAUCGGAUUGAGGCAUAGCUAGACGUACCUACUCUACUUACCUGCUUUCGUUCCCGCAUAGCUUUAUAUAUAUUGUAUAUAUAUCUCUCUAUGCCUGCUUAGACCUAGUGGGUAGAUCGGUGGAGUCGGCGGCCGAACCCACUGGGAACUAAGGAAGUUAGUUCUCACACCCCACAUUACAGGUACUAGUUCGAGUAUUCCCAGCGAGCGGGAGGAUCGCGGCAAAGGCAUAGCGCCCUAGCGCGUGUCGGUUGAUAGUUUGCUUCCUAUAUUGCAUUAGUCCUACCCUAUGUUUACAUUUUGAGAGUAGAUCUUGUAUAGGUGAGGUUUGAGAGCAUAUGAUGUAUUUAUAUUUUG